Molecule: ribosomal RNA, 459 nt
Filed under: uncultured bacterium
Lineage: Bacteria
Description: bacterial SSU rRNA
Rfam family: Bacterial small subunit ribosomal RNA
Source: RNAcentral
UGGAUUAGGCAUGCAAGUCGCGCGGGUGUAGCAAUACAUCAGCGGCGUAAGGGACAGGAAUACGUAGACAACCUACCCUCGGGACCUGAAUAGCUGCGGGAAACUGCAGGUAAUGCGGGAUAACGUCUCCGGACCAAAGGUGUGAGUCCGCCGGAGGAUGGGUCUGCGUCCUAUUAGCUAGUUGGUGAGGUAACGGCUCACCAAGGCAAUGAUGGGUAGCAGGUGUGAGAGCACGACCUGCGUCACUGGGACUGAGACACUGCCCAGACACCUACGGGUGGCUGCAGUCGAGGAUUUUCGUCAAUGGGCGCAAGCCUGAACGAGCGACGCCGCGUGCGGGAUGAAGGCCUUCGGGUUGUAAACCGCUGUCAGUGGGGAGGAAAUGCAUGUGGGUACUCCCACAUGUUUGACUAAUCCGCAGAGGAAGUGUGGGCUAAGCUCGUGCCAGCAGCCGCGGUA